AGGUCUAUAAGUAGCAGUUUCUCGUCGGAACUAUCCAUGACAAGUGGUGCAUGGGUGAGGUCAGGUAGUGUAGUAACAUGAUUCGAAAACUUAGAAAUCAUGGUCUACCGUGAUCAUUAGCAGCGAGUAUAAUCUUGGUCGCUCCACAGACUUUGGUUCGUCAGAGUCAGGAUUAGUCCAGAAAGCCGCCUUAUCCUCAGGUGCUCCACGUAAUAUGUAAGAAUUUUGCCGCUACGGUAGGUACUCCAGUUUCCUAAGCAACAAUCAAGUCCGUAUGUUUCAAAAGGAUCCCAGGGUUGAUCGCAGGCUGCUAAUUUCUUGCAUAAAGAUCGACUUGCUAGCUAUUGAGGAUCAAGAUGUCCGGAUGAAGGUGGCCCCAGACGUAGUACACACGGUCCGU
Molecule: ribosomal RNA, 400 nt
Filed under: uncultured bacterium
Lineage: Bacteria
Description: partial 16S ribosomal RNA
Source: RNAcentral